RNAcentral lists this ribosomal RNA (382 nucleotides) under uncultured bacterium. RNAcentral's name for it is "bacterial SSU rRNA". It matches the Rfam family "Bacterial small subunit ribosomal RNA", at positions 29 to 416 of the family's 1533-position model. The record is from RNAcentral.
AUUGAACGCUGGCGGCAUGCCUUACACAUGCAAGUCGAACGGUAGAGGGGCAACCCUCGAGAGUGGCGAACGGGUGAGUAAUGCAUCGGAACGUACCCAGUUGUGGGGGAUAGCUCGGCGAAAGCCGGAUUAAUACCGCAUACGCACUGAGGUGGAAAGCGGGGGACUCGCAAGGGCCUCGCGCAGUUGGAGCGGCCGAUGUCAGAUUAGCUAGUUGGUGGGGUAAAGGCCUACCAAGGCGACGAUCUGUAGCUGGUCUGAGAGGAUGACCAGCCACACUGGGACUGAGACACGGCCCAGACUCCUACGGGAGGCAGCAGUGGGGAAUUUUGGACAAUGGGCGCAAGCCUGAUCCAGCCAUGCCGCGUGCAGGAAGAAGGCC